CAGCCGUAAACUGUGCGCGUUAGGUGUAUCGGUGACCACGAGUCACCGAGGUGCCGAAGGGAAACCGUGAAACGUGCCGCCUGGGAAGUACGGUCGCAAGGCUGAAACUUAAAGGAAUUGGCGGGGAGCACCACAACGGGUGGAGCCUGCGGUUUAAUUGGACUCAACGCCGGGAAGCUCACCGGAUAAGACAGCGGAAUGAUUGCCGGGCUGAAGACUCUGCAUGACUAGCUGAGAGGAGGUGCAUGGCGUAGACGUCU
RNAcentral lists this ribosomal RNA (260 nucleotides) under uncultured archaeon. RNAcentral describes it as "partial 16S ribosomal RNA". It matches the Rfam family "Archaeal small subunit ribosomal RNA", at positions 748 to 1009 of the family's 1478-position model. The record is from RNAcentral.